GUUUUCCUUGAAUCCUUGACAUCAAUGUGCAGCAGGUGAGCUGGGCAAGACAAAUGAAGCAAUUCACAUUUUUCAUUCAGCUUUACAUCUUGUGUGAAAUUCAUGCUGGAAGAAGCCGAGUCAGAAUGACUGUUGCCACAUCUUUCUAGACACAGCCAACUGGGUGUAGAAGACUGAACAUGGAGUAAGGAGCCAGAAUCUCGUCUGUCAUUCUCCCACUGACUCAUCAUAUGGCCUUGGGUCUAGGAUGGAAUAUCCAGUAAAAUGAGUACAGAAGAGCUGAAAACUCAUCCCACCAUAUCCAAUAACACAGUGGUUAUGGACCUCACAUGGUCUGAAUCAGGCAUAGCAUGGACUUGAGCUCAGGUCUUCCA
Long non-coding RNA from Mauremys reevesii (Reeves's turtle), 374 nucleotides. RefSeq lists it as uncharacterized. The transcript has 3 exons. Lineage: Eukaryota; Metazoa; Chordata; Testudines; Geoemydidae. The record is from RefSeq and is a predicted model, not a curated record.